CGCGCAGGCGGCCUGACAAGUCAGGUGUGAAAGCCCACGGCUUAACCGUGGACGUGCACUUGAAACUGUCAGGCUUGAGUAUCAGAGGGGAAAGUGGAAUUCCUGGUGUAGAGGUGAAAUUCGUAGAUAUCAGGAGGAAUACCGGUGGCGAAGGCGACUUUCUGGCUGAAUACUGACGCUGAGGCGCGAAAGCGUGGGGAGCAAACA
This 207-nucleotide ribosomal RNA is filed under the name uncultured bacterium. RNAcentral's name for it is "partial 16S ribosomal RNA". It matches the Rfam family "Bacterial small subunit ribosomal RNA", at positions 568 to 774 of the family's 1533-position model. The record is from RNAcentral.